This 376-nucleotide ribosomal RNA is filed under the name uncultured bacterium. Its description in RNAcentral is "bacterial SSU rRNA". It matches the Rfam family "Bacterial small subunit ribosomal RNA", at positions 29 to 404 of the family's 1533-position model. The record is from RNAcentral.
ACGAACGCUGGCGGCGUGCUUAACACAUGCAAGUCGAGCGGUAAGGCCCUUUCGGGGGUACGACGAGCGGCGAACGGGUGAGUAACACGUGGGUGACCUGCCCUCAGCUCUGGGAGUAAGCCUGGGAAACCGGGUACUAAUACUGGAUAUGACUCCAUGACGCAUGUUGUGGGGUGGAAAGCCUUGUGCGGCUGAGGAUGGGCCCGCGGCCUAUCAGCUUGUUGGUGGGGUGAUGGCCUACCAAGGCGACGACGGUAGCCGGCCUGAGAGGGCGACCGGCCACACUGGGACUGAGACACGGCCCAGACUCCUACGGGAGGCAGCAGUGGGGAAUCUUGCGCAAUGGGCGAAANCCUGACGCAGCGACGCCGCGUGA